GAUGAACGCUGGCGGCGUGCCUAAUACAUGCAAGUCGAGCGAACAGAUGAGGAGCUUGCUCCUCUGACGUUGGCGGCGGACGGGUGAGUAACACGUGGCUAACCUACCUAUAAGACUGGGAUAACUUCGGGAAACCGGAGCUAAUACCGGAUAAUAUAUUGAACCGCAUGGUUCAAUAGUGAAAGACGGUUUUGCUGUCACUUAUAGAUGGAUCCGCGCCGCAUUAGCUAGUUGGUAAGGUAACGGCUUACCAAGGCAACGAUGCGUAGCCGACCUGAGAGGGUGAUCGGCCACACUGGAACUGAGACACGGUCCAGACUCCUACGGGAGGCAGCAGUAGGGAAUCUUCCGCAAUGGGCGAAAGCCUGACGGAGCAACGCCGCGUGAGUGAUGAAGGUCUUCGGAUCGUAAAACUCUGUUAUUAGGGAAGAACAAAUGUGUAAGUAACUAUGCACGUCUUGACGGUACCUAAUCAGAAAGCCACGGCUAACUACGUG
Molecule: ribosomal RNA, 497 nt
Filed under: uncultured bacterium
Lineage: Bacteria
Description: partial 16S ribosomal RNA
Rfam family: Bacterial small subunit ribosomal RNA
Source: RNAcentral